GCAGCGGAGCGUGUUGGUUUAAUUCGAGUUGUUACACGAAGUAACCUUACAGGGUUUGACAUGCAAGUGGUAGGAAGCCGAAAGGUUGACCGACCCUUCGGGGAGCUUGCACAGGUGCUGCAUGGCUGUCGUCAGCUCGUGUCGUGAGAUGUUCGGUUAAGUCCGCUAACGAGCGCAACCCUCGCUGUGUGUUAUAUGUGUCACACGGGACUGCCGGUCUUAAGCCGGAGGAAGGUGGGGAUGAUGUCAAGUCAGCAUGGCCUUUAUAUCCUGGGCUACACACACGCUACAAUGGCCAACACAAUAGGUUGCUAAGCCGCGAGGUGGCGCCAAUCCAUAAAGUUGGUCUCAGUUCAGAUUGUAGGCUGCAACCCGCCUGCAUGAAGAUGGAGUUGCUAGUAACCGCAGGUCAGCUAUACUGCGGUGAAUACGUUCCCGGGGCUU
RNAcentral lists this ribosomal RNA (444 nucleotides) under uncultured Leptolinea sp. RNAcentral describes it as "bacterial SSU rRNA". It matches the Rfam family "Bacterial small subunit ribosomal RNA", at positions 929 to 1382 of the family's 1533-position model. Lineage: Bacteria; Bacillati; Chloroflexota; Anaerolineae; Anaerolineales; Anaerolineaceae. The record is from RNAcentral.